UCUCUCUCUCCCUCCCAGCCUCUAUAAAUUUGCCCAUUUUUGUGGAUCUCAAAUGAGAGAGAGAGAGAGAGAGAGAGAGACAGAGAGAGAGAGAGAGAGCAAUAGGUUUAGAACACAGAAAUGGGAUUUAGAAUUGUGUAUGGGGUGCUGUUUCUGUCGUUCUCGUGCGCCUGCAUCAAGCUCAUCCACCUUAUGCUCCACCCAGUAUUCUACUACACCACCUGAGGACUGAUGGGAAGCUAAGCCUCCACCAGGUCAAAUGCUGACCAAAAACAAGAACAAAAAAUUUGGGUUAGCUAGCCACAAAAUAGGUAUUUUGGUUUGGUUUUUUUAUUUAUAUAUAUCUACUUCAAUUGGGUUUGUAUUGUUUGUGGGUUACGUUGUUGAUGUGUGUGGUAUUGAUAUUGCAAGUUUUUAUAAGUGAGGAUGAAGUUGAAGUGUGUAUUUGUUGAUUUAGUUUGAUGUAUUUUGGUGCCAACACUGUUUGAUUUAAGUUCAUUGUUUAGCUAAUGGCUUGAUUUUACAGUCAUGGGAAUAAAUUUUCAACAAUGUUUUUAUGAUGUGGUGGCUAUCUGGAAUGUUUACGAUGGUGGUGGGUGGGUCAUGAAGCUUUUCUUUGUUGGGCUAGCAAUAGCAUUCAGGAGUCAUGAUGAGCCAUGACGUUGGUGUUGCUUGGAGGAUUGGACUCAGAAAAAAGAAAAUAAAUAUCAGAUUCCUGAAUUGAAAUUUUCAAAGUUGAAUAAAAGCUGAUUGGUUG
RNAcentral lists this long non-coding RNA (757 nucleotides) under Prunus dulcis (almond). RNAcentral describes it as "sRNA ncRNA". Lineage: Eukaryota; Viridiplantae; Streptophyta; Magnoliopsida; Rosales; Rosaceae. The record is from RNAcentral.